Molecule: ribosomal RNA, 888 nt
Filed under: Coniochaeta sp.
Lineage: Eukaryota; Fungi; Ascomycota; Sordariomycetes; Coniochaetales; Coniochaetaceae
Description: partial large subunit ribosomal RNA
Rfam family: Eukaryotic large subunit ribosomal RNA
Source: RNAcentral
CAUAUCAAUAAGCGGAGGAAAAGAAACCAACAGGGAUUGCCCCAGUAACGGCGAGUGAAGCGGCAACAGCUCAAAUUUGAAAUCUGGCCUCGGCCCGAGUUGUAAUUUGUAGAGGAUGCUUUUGGUGAGGUGCCUUCUGAGUUCCCUGGAACGGGACGCCAGAGAGGGUGAGAGCCCCGUAUAGUCGGCCACCGAUCCUCUGUAAAGCUCCUUCGACGAGUCGAGUAGUUUGGGAAUGCUGCUCAAAAUGGGAGGUAUAUCUCUUCUAAAGCUAAAUAUAGGCCAGAGACCGAUAGCGCACAAGUAGAGUGAUCGAAAGAUGAAAAGCACUUUGAAAAGAGGGUUAAAUAGCACGUGAAAUUGUUGAAAGGGAAGCGCUUGUGACCAGACUUGCGCCGGGCUGAUCAUCCAGUGUUCUCACUGGUGCACUCGACCCGGCUCAGGCCAGCGUCGGUUCUCGUAGGGGGAUAAAAGCUUCGGGAACGUGGCACCUUCGGGUGUGUUAUAGCCCGCUGCUUAAUACCCCUGUGGGGACCGAGGUUCGCGCUCUGCAAGGACGCUGGCAUAAUGGUCAUCAGCGACCCGUCUUGAAACACGGACCAAGGAGUCGAGGUUUUGCGCGAGUGUUUGGGUGUAAAACCCGCACGCGUAAUGAAAGUGAACGUAGGUGAGAGCUUCGGCGCAUCAUCGACCGAUCCUGAUGUAUUCGGAUGGAUUUGAGUAAGAGCGUAAAGCCUCGGACCCGAAAGAUGGUGAACUAUGCCUGAAUAGGGUGAAGCCAGAGGAAACUCUGGUGGAGGCUCGCAGCGGUUCUGACGUGCAAAUCGAUCGUCAAAUUUGGGCAUGGGGGCGAAAGACUAAUCGAACCAUCUAGUAGCUGGUUACCGC